UUGGGUAAGGGCAAAUUUGGCAAAGCCUAAUUAAAGAUAAUCAAAACAAAACAAAAUAAAAACAAAACACAUCUCAGAUCCAUUAAAACAAAACAAGCGUAAGGAACAUGAAAACAAAACUUUCUCAGACAAAUCUCAGAUUCUCCACCUCUAUGAAAACCAAGCCCCUCCAUCGAUGCCCCGUCGCCGAAUCCUCUGGCGACCACGACAAUGAUUCCACCCACAACCACCGCAACUAUUAUGUCGACGCCUCCAUCUCCGACGAGUAAAUCAUUGAAGAACAUGACGUAGAAGAAGCACCCAUCUCACUUCAUCUCAGAUCCUUCAAAUCCAAGCCCAUAUAUAAUUCCAACAAGAACAAAACUACUUACCCAGAAAUCAUCCUGCUUUCUUCUUCCGAUUGGAUGCUCCAAGGCUCCACCGACGUGAUAUUCUUUUAAUUGAAAAAUCAACAGAUCGACUUCUUUUUCACCUUUCUCUUUCUCUCUCCUCUACAUAUUUAGAUCUAUAUUUGGGUUAAUAUGAACAAGUUGAGGCUGAUUUUGGAACAUGAUUAUUAGUGUUCAUUGUAUUGUUGUCUGUGUGAUUUCAUUUUUCUUACAGUAAUUAUAUGAAAUCAAAUAUGCAUACAAAUGAUUUAUCAUAAUAUACUUCAGCUUCCUUUUGCUCAUCAGUUUUAUUAUGAGUUGUUUAUUAUCUUGUGAGUUGGUUCUUCAGUUCAAAUGAAUAAGAUUUGAUUUUUG
Molecule: long non-coding RNA, 743 nt
Filed under: Panax ginseng (ginseng)
Lineage: Eukaryota; Viridiplantae; Streptophyta; Magnoliopsida; Apiales; Araliaceae
Description: long non-coding RNA (PGIN_LNC014817)
Source: RNAcentral